GGCUUGAUAAGCCGGUUGUGAAAGCCCCGGGCUCAACCUGGGAACGGCAUCCGGAACUGUCAGGCUAGAGUGCAGGAGAGGAAGGUAGAAUUCCCGGUGUAGCGGUGAAAUGCGUAGAGAUCGGGAGGAAUACCAGUGGCGAAGGCGGCCUUCUGGACUGACACUGACGCUGAGGUGCGAAAGCGUGGGUAGCAAACAGGAUUAGAUACCCUGGUAGUCCACGCCGUAAACGAUGUCGACUAGCCGUUGGGGUCCUCGAGACCUUUGUGGCGCAGUUAACGCGAUAAGUCGACCGCCUGGGGAGUACGGCCGCAAGGUUAAAACUCAAAUGAAUUGACGGGGGCCCGCACAAGCGGUGGAGCAUGUGGUUUAAUUCGAUGCAACGCGAAGAACCUUACCUACUCUUGACAUCCAGCGAAGCCUUUAGAGAUAGAGGCGUGCCUUCGGGAGCGCUGAGACAGGUGCUGCAUGGCUGUCGUCAGCUCGUGUUGUGAAAUGUUGGGUUAAGUCCCGCAACGAGCGCAACCCUUAUCCUUGUUUGCCAGCACGUAAUGGUGGGAACUCCAGGGAGACUGCCGGUGAUAAACCGGAGGAAGGUGGGGACGACGUCAAGUCAUCAUGGCCCUUACGAGUAGGGCUACACACGUGCUACAAUGGCAGAUACAGAGGGCAGCGAAGCUGCGAAGUGGAGCGAAUCCCUUAAAGUUUGUCGUAGUCCGGAUUGGAGUCUGCAAC
Molecule: ribosomal RNA, 735 nt
Filed under: uncultured Halomonadaceae bacterium
Lineage: Bacteria; Pseudomonadati; Pseudomonadota; Gammaproteobacteria; Oceanospirillales; Halomonadaceae
Description: bacterial SSU rRNA
Rfam family: Bacterial small subunit ribosomal RNA
Source: RNAcentral